GUCUACGGCCAUACCACCUUGAAUGCACCCGAUCUCGGAAGCUAAGCAGGGUGGGGCCUGGUUAGUACUUGGAUGGGAGAUU
This 82-nucleotide ribosomal RNA is filed under the name Neogale vison (American mink). Lineage: Eukaryota; Metazoa; Chordata; Mammalia; Carnivora; Mustelidae. The record is from RNAcentral.